UACGGGGGGGGUAAGCGUUGUUCGGAAUUACUGGGCGUAAAGGGCUCGUAGGCGGCCAACUAAGUCAUACGUGAAAUCCCUCAGCUUAACUGGGGAACUGCGUGUGAUACUGGAUGGCUUGGAUUUGGGAGAGGGAUGCGGAAUUCCAGGUGUAGCGGUGAAAUGCGUAGAUAUCUGGAGGAACACCGGUGGCGGAGGCGGCAUCCUGGACCGAGAUUGACGCUGAGGCGCGAAAGCCAGGGGAGCAAACGGG
RNAcentral lists this ribosomal RNA (253 nucleotides) under uncultured bacterium. RNAcentral's name for it is "partial 16S ribosomal RNA". It matches the Rfam family "Bacterial small subunit ribosomal RNA", at positions 524 to 776 of the family's 1533-position model. The record is from RNAcentral.